AUCUUGGGCCGUAGAGAAAGAAGGCUAUCACAGGUGUAACGCUCGGGCAAAUUGUGUCCACGUCGUUUUCGAUUAAAUCCUAUCUGUGAAUCUUCCACUGUUGCUUCCAUGCGUCGACUCUUGAGCCYGACGCGUGGGACUACAACAUAACAUCAUGUUCUGUUUUGCUAGUCUGAGUGGUCAGCCACAUUUUAWCAAGUUAAAACUUUCAACAACGGAUCUCUUGGUUCUCGCAUCGAUGAAGAACGCAGYGAAAUGCGAUAAGUAGUGUGAAUUGCAGAAUUCAGUGAAUCAUCGAAUCUUUGAACGCACAUUGCGCCUUCUGGUAUUCCGGGAGGCAUGCCUGUUCGAGCGUCAUGAAAAGCAUCCUCAAGCGACAUGCUUGGUUGUGGAAGAAGAUGGUAUCUCAUCUCUUCUGGAAGCUCUCAGCAGUAGGCCUUGCAACCUCAGGUGUGAUAACUCAUAUUCACUUGAAGGUCAUGAGGUGUUCUGGCUGUAUUGAAAGCCCCCCCAGCAUUUUUCAGUGUUGACCUCG
RNAcentral lists this ribosomal RNA (535 nucleotides) under fungal endophyte sp. ECD-2008. RNAcentral's name for it is "eukaryotic LSU rRNA". The stretch from base 204 to 357 matches the Rfam family "5.8S ribosomal RNA". The record is from RNAcentral. Lineage: Eukaryota; Fungi.